AUUGAACGCUGGCGGCAUGCCUUACACAUGCAAGUCGAACGGUAACGGGCCUUCGGGUGCCGACGAGUGGCGAACGGGUGAGUAAUACAUCGGAACGUGCCCGAUCGUGGGGGAUAACGAGGCGAAAGCUUUGCUAAUACCGCAUACGAUCUACGGAUGAAAGCAGGGGACCGCAAGGCCUUGCGCGGACGGAGCGGCCGAUGGCAGAUUAGGUAGUUGGUGGGAUAAAAGCUUACCAAGCCGACGAUCUGUAGCUGGUCUGAGAGGAUGAUCAGCCACACUGUGACUGAGACACGGCCCAGACUCCUACGGGAGGCAGCAGUGGGGAAUGUUGGACAAUGGGCGCAAGCCUGAUCCAGCCAUGCCGCGUGCAGGAUGAAGGCCUUCGGGUUGUAAACUGCUUUUGUACGGAACGAAAAGCCUUCUUUUAAUACAGGAGGGUCAUGACGGUACCGUAAGAAUAAGCACCGGCUAACUACGUG
Molecule: ribosomal RNA, 482 nt
Filed under: uncultured bacterium
Lineage: Bacteria
Description: partial 16S ribosomal RNA
Rfam family: Bacterial small subunit ribosomal RNA
Source: RNAcentral